RNAcentral lists this small RNA (77 nucleotides) under Tenacibaculum todarodis. Its description in RNAcentral is "Tenacibaculum sp. LPB0136 Flavo-1 RNA". It matches the Rfam family "Flavo-1 RNA". The record is from Rfam by way of RNAcentral. Lineage: Bacteria; Pseudomonadati; Bacteroidota; Flavobacteriia; Flavobacteriales; Flavobacteriaceae.
AGUAAGCGCGUUAGGGAUUGAAGUGGCAUCCUUUUUGUUUUUUUUGCAAAAAGAUAUAACGGAAAGCCCGACCUUUA